GACGAACGCUGGCGGCGUGCUUAACACAUGCAAGUCGAACGGAAAGGCCCUGCUUUUGUGGGGUGCUCGAGUGGCGAACGGGUGAGUAACACGUGAGUAACCUGCCCUUGACUUUGGGAUAACUUCAGGAAACUGGGGCUAAUACCGGAUAGGAGCUCCUGCUGCAUGGUGGGGGUUGGAAAGUUUUGGCGGUUGGGGAUGGACUCGCGGCUUAUCAGCUUGUUGGUGGGGUAGUGGCUUACCAAGGCUUUGACGGGUAGCCGGCCUGAGAGGGUGACCGGCCACAUUGGGACUGAGAUACGGCCCAGACUCCUACGGGAGGCAGCAGUGGGGAAUAUUGCACAAUGGGCGGAGGCCUGAUGCAGCAACGCCGCGUGCGGGAUGACGGCCUUCGGGUUGUAAACCGCUUUCGCCUGUGACGAAGCGUGAGUGACGGUAAUGGGUAAAGAAGCACCGGCUAACUACGUG
Molecule: ribosomal RNA, 468 nt
Filed under: uncultured bacterium
Lineage: Bacteria
Description: partial 16S ribosomal RNA
Rfam family: Bacterial small subunit ribosomal RNA
Source: RNAcentral